GAUCAAACGAUGAAGGGCGCAUAGGGGAUGUCUUGGCAUCAGAAGGCGUUGAAGGGCGCGGAAAACUGCGAAAAUCUUCGGGGAGUCGUUAAACAGACCUUGAUCCGGAGGUUCCCGAACUGACACGUGCUGAAUCCAUAGGCACGUGUGGCGAACCCAGGGAACUGAAACAUCUCAAUACCUGGAGGAAGAGAAAGAAAAAUCGAUUCCGUCAGUAGCGGCGAGCGAAAUCGGAAGAGCCCAAACCAACCGGGUUUCCCGAUUGGGGUUGUAGGACCAUUCUUCGUGAGUAAGAAAACAGAUUGAUAGUGGAACGGCGUUGGAACGCGCCGGCCAUAGAGGGUGAGAGCCCCGUACGCGAAAUUGAUCUGUCUCCUGAGUGGCACCUGAGUAGGUCGAGUCACGUGAAACCUUGACUGAAUCGGCGGGGUCCAUCCCGCAAGGCUAAAUACUCUCUGAUGACCGAUAGUGCAAAGUAGAGCGAUCGAAAGAUGAAAAGAACCCCGACUAAGGGGAGGGAAAGAACCUGAAACUAUGUGCCUACAAGCGGUCGGAGCACUAUGAUACAAGUGUGACGGCGUGCCUUUCGCAUAAUGAUCCGGCGAGUUACCGGCAUUGGCCUGGUUAAGAGCUUCCGGCUCGAAGCCCCAGGGAAACCGAGUCUGAAUAGGGCGUAAGUCAAUGUUGGUAGACGCGAAACCCAUGUGAACUACCCAUGAGCAGGUUGAAGCGCGGGUUAUACUGCGUGGAGGACCGAACCCACUUGGGUUGAAAACCGAG
RNAcentral lists this ribosomal RNA (780 nucleotides) under Thermoguttaceae bacterium. RNAcentral describes it as "partial 23S ribosomal RNA". It matches the Rfam family "Bacterial large subunit ribosomal RNA", at positions 1 to 800 of the family's 2925-position model. Lineage: Bacteria; Pseudomonadati; Planctomycetota; Planctomycetia; Pirellulales; Thermoguttaceae. The record is from RNAcentral.